UAAGGAAUAUUGGUCAAUGGGCGGAAGCCUGAACCAGCCAUGCCGCGUGCAGGAAGACGGCCCUACGGGUUGUAAACUGCUUUUAUACGGGAAUAAACCUACUUACGUGUAAGUAGCUGAAUGUACUGUAAGAAUAAGGAUCGGCUAACUCCGUGCCAGCAGCCGCGGUAAUACGGAGGAUCCAAGCGUUAUCCGGAUUUAUUGGGUUUAAAGGGUGCGUAGGUGGCCUGUUAAGUCAGGGGUGAAAGACGGUAGCUUAACUAUCGCAGUGCCUUUGAUACUGAUGGGCUUGAAUGAACUAGAGGUAGGCGGAAUGUGACAAGUAGCGGUGAAAUGCAUAGAUAUGUCACAGAACACCAAUUGCGAAGGCAGCUUACUAUGGUUUUAUUGACACUGAGGCACGAAAGCGUGGGGAUCAAACAGGAUUAGAUACCCCCGUAGUCC
Molecule: ribosomal RNA, 444 nt
Filed under: uncultured bacterium
Lineage: Bacteria
Description: bacterial SSU rRNA
Rfam family: Bacterial small subunit ribosomal RNA
Source: RNAcentral